AUUAGUAGAAUUCCAUUUCCCUUCCUCAGUCAUCGGAGAGCUCUCUCUGGGCUUUCCAAAAAGGUAUCACAUGCCAAGUUUGGCCUCACGGUCUAAAAGUUAUAGAGUCAUACAUUUUUAACAAUACAAAAUAGAGAAAAACCGAAAAAAAAGAGGGAUGCAACACGAGGACUUUCCGGGAGGUAAUCCAUCCUAGUACUACUCUCGCCUAAGCACCCUUAACUGCGGAGUUCUAAUGGAAUCCAGUGCAUUAGUGCGGGUAUGAUCGCAUGUGUUACUACAUGCAAUGUAAUCGUAUCUAUUCUUUUUUAAAGACUUUAUGAUCCAUUUGCCGUGGGUCCCACCAGCUAUGUAGGAAUACACUAUCUUCUUUAUAAGAGCUUUGAUAGAGGCAAAAUAUUGGAAAAAAACGUCCGAACAUAUAAUUUUCCCCACGUAAUAUAGCAAAGAUCACGAAAAUGCCCCAAAAAGUACAUUUAGUUCAAAAUUUGGAGUAGAAAAAAAAACAAUAGAAGAAUUACAUUUUCCUUCCUCACUCAUCGGAGAGCUCUCUUUGGGCUUUCCGAAAAGGUAUCACAUGCCAAGUUUGGUCUCACGGUCUAAGAGUUAUAGAGUCAUACAUUUUUAACAAUACAAAAUAGAGAAAAACCGAAAAAAAGAGGGAUGCAACACGAAGACUUUCCGGGAGGUAAUCCAUCCUAGUACUACUCUUGCCCAAGCACCCUUAACUGUGGAGUUCUGAUGGAAUCUGGUGCAUUAGUGCUGAUAUGAUCGCAUGUGUUACUACAUGCAAUGUAAUCGUAUCUAUUCUUUUUUAAAGACUUUAUGAUCCAUUUGCCGUGGGUCCCACCAGCUAUGUAGGAAUACCCUAUCUUCUUUAUAAGAGCUUUGAUACAUGCAAAAUAUAUGAAAAAAACGUCCGAACAUAUAAUUUUCCCCCCGUAAUAUAGCAAAGAUCACGAAAAGGCUCGAAAAAUUACAUUUAGUUCAAAAGUCCCCCGUAUGAUGUCAUUUGUUACUACAUGCAAUGCAAUCAUAUCUAUUCUUAUUUAAAGACUUUAUGAUCCAUUUGUCGUGGGUCCCACCUGUAGGAAUACCCUAUCUUGUUUAUAAAAGAUUUGAUACAUGCAAAAUACUCGAAAACAAUGUCCGAACAUAUAAUUUUCACCCCGUAAUAUAGCAAAGAUCACGAAAAGGCCCGAAAAAGUACAUUAAAGUCAAAAUUUGGAGUAGAAAAAAACCC
Molecule: small RNA, 1243 nt
Filed under: Arabidopsis thaliana (thale cress)
Lineage: Eukaryota; Viridiplantae; Streptophyta; Magnoliopsida; Brassicales; Brassicaceae
Description: ATSL163720
Source: RNAcentral